GAUGCCGCCUCUUUCACGAGUUUUGAGUCUCUCUCUUUUAUACUCACAGCCUCAAAGCAGCUGGCUGUUUAAAACCUCCCGGUUUGCUAAGAAGGUAACACAAAAUAAAACCCAAAUAGAGUUUAUUUCGUUGGAUUGUCUAUAGCUUUUCUAUAGCUUAGCUUGUGUCAGGGAAGUCCUCUGAUUGGACCUCUAGUCAAUAAUUUCUAUGAAUAUCUUGAAAUUUCUGGUUUGUUUCCUAUUAACGGAUCCUUCUUCAGCAUUACAAGGGUUUCUUCAUAACCAGGGAUAUAUAUGUGUGUGUGUGUGUGUGUGUGUGUGUGUGUGUGUGUGUGUGUGUGUGAAAAUUUUUGUUUUAAAAUUUUCAUUUAACAAACCUGAUCAGAGGCAGCCGAGCACUUCAGAACUGAGUUCAGUUUCACCAACUAGUCCGAGUGUGUCAAUUUGGCCCCUGGGCCUUUCAAAAUGAUUUUGAAAUUUUGUUACCUGAAGGUUCAUUGUCAAUCAGAGCCACCUGAAAACCUUGUGACAGUGAGGGAAAAGGGAGCAAUGAUAAAAAUAAUUUAAAAACCACUUUAUUGCUAAAAAAAACUGUAUUAUUUAAAAAACAACUUUAUAAUAACACUUUAUAAUUUAAAAAACACUUUAUUGCUAAUUAUAUUUGGCUUCUGUUUCUCUCCCAAAGCAGUGAGGGGAACAAAACAGCUCCUGAAUCUGCAUUUCUUUUCACCAGAGAAAAGUUGAGCCUGCUCAGGCACUGCUAAAAACCUGGUGAAUCCUGAAAGAAUAGAUUAUAGGAGUCUUCCCACUGACUUCAGAGGGCUUUGGAUGAGGAGUCUGUUGCAGUCUCAGUUUCUUUUUAAAGACCUAUGUUAAAACACAUAUGAGGAUGCCAACUUCAGGCCCAAUUCUGUGGCCUUCAUGGUAACUAACAUCUUGGAGAGUACACAGGCGUUGAAUGGUUCAUCUGAUUUCACAUAUUUUCUCCUUCCCUUCCACAAAGGUGCACGCACACACAUCCAACAUGUGGCACUACUACUAGCUUUUCUACUCCCUACAAACCAAGGCUAUUUUACCCACUCCGCUGUCACUCUAAACCUGUCUGAGCUAGCUGUCAAGUAAACCACUGUGCUCCUGUAUGCUAGGGCUUGCUUUUUUAUUAGUAAAAUCUACAAACCCUCAGCUAUGUCUAGGCAAGAAAAAAGACGAAAAUAUUCCAUCUUCUAGCUACUCCUCUCACCAUUUUAAACUAUCACUGUUACUAAAUAAACAAAGAAAAGCAAAGAGAAAUACAUUCUCCCCAUCCAUUUUUUUCUACUAAUAAACCAGUUAAUGGAAAAGAUUCUAAUUCACAUCUUCCUUUUGAAAGAAAGUUGUCCUGAAUAAGUACUGCAGAUAGGAGAUCAUAAUUUCUACAUGAGGGGCUCACAGGGUCCCCAUUACUACAGAAUAUAAAUGCUUCAAAAUCUGUGAUGCUUGGGAAGCAAUAAAAAGCUAUUAACCUUAUUCAACAACUGAGGAGCCCAGUGCCCAGCAUCCUUCCUCUUGGUGCACACUCAGAAAUCAUGUUUUAUUCCAUAUUUAUUUCAUACCCUCCAGAAAAGGCAGGGAUUUAAUUUUUCCUCAUCUGGGGCCUGAUGGAAAGCCAAAUGGAGUCUUUCCAUUGACUUCUGAUGGCUUUGCCUAAGGGGCCUGUUGCAUUCUCUGUUUCUUUUUAAAGACCUAAGAUGUGUAUUAAAGCAUAUAGGAGGAUGGUGACUUCUGGUGUGAUUCUGUGGUCAUUGUCAGAUAAACCUCUUUGUGAACCCCCUAAGAAAGAAAAUUGCCAGAAAAAAAGUCUGCAGGAAUUGGUCAAUGUUUGCCUCAGCUAGGACUGGAGGGUUAGACUGUAGGCAGUAAAACCAGCAUCAGCACUGCGAGCUACUACUAGACCAUGCUUUUAUCAACCCACUGCAGUGCCUGUGACCUGGCCUUCGCAGGUGCCCCCAUCCCCUUCCCCUUGAUUCAUUGUCCCUCAGGACUUUUCUGCCAACAAAUGGUGGUUUGAGAGGUGCUCCUUAAACCAUCUUGCUAAACUUCAGACCUGAGCCAGAGGCCCAUGAAGCAUAGACUCAGAGUGGAGCCCAUUAGCAGUGUAGCAUGGUUUUACUUUGUGACAUUCUCUAUUUCAUCUGAGCUCCCAGUACUUACCUGCUUCAUUCCUUUUUUUUUUUAUUUAUGAUGGCAUUUGCCACAGACCUAAUGAACUGUCCAAAUCUGAAUGUCCCUCAUCCAGAUGCCAAACAAAGGUUUUUUAAAAAAAGUUAAGUAGGAUGUGGAUUGAAAAGGCAGCAUUUUAAUAAAAAUAUAUUUUGGGUUACAGAGAGUUUGUUAAAUGUUAUUAGCCACACUGAAAUUUUACCCAUAUGAUAAAAAGUAUAAAUACAUUGGGUCUGUUUGCAUAGUUAAAAUCAGAUUUCCAGAACCAGAGGUAAAGACAACAACAACAACAAUGGUGAUCAUUUCUGUGGAUAAAUAACAUUAACUCCUGGAACCAAACGUUUUCCAGCUCUGCAAAUAGCAAUAUCAUUGCAAAAUCAUUGCAAAAUCAUUGCUAAUAUUAAGGCAUUCCAAAUAAUACCAUCUGUCAAUCAGACGAGGUUCUUUGGGUAAAUCCGAUAUCUUUUAUUAGACCAAAUAAAAUAGUUGGAAACAUUCUUCAAUCAGUAUUUUUGUUUUAAUUUAAUGAGAAAUAUUUGUGAUUCGAUACAAAGUGAGAAAUCGCCUCUCCAUAGGCUAAAUUCGGGAAGUUUUAGAAGGAGUUUUAGCCUAUGGAGAGGCAAUUUCUCGCUUUGUAUCUACCACAAAUCACAAGUAUUUCUCUGAUUAGCUCUUUUCUAGUUUACCACCAUACUUGAAGCUCUUCCUUUGAAAUAUGUGUCAUUUAAAUCAAACCCCAACAAACCUUUUUUUCCCCAUCCUCUAACUAAUAGUGUCUUUUUGUGCCUGCCGUUUCCAUGGCUUCGUGGGACAGGAAGCUGUCCUGUCUAUGGUGAUCAAUGCUGGUGUUUUGUUAUAUUUGCUCUAGGAACAAAAAGCAUCUGGUUUGGCCAGCUGCUUUUGCCUCAUUGUGGUUUGGUGGGCUUGAUAGCACUCCUGCCGCCCCAGUCCAAGCAGCAAUAUAUAUUAUUCGGACGUCAUUAGGACACCACCUAAUCAGGAAAGUUGUUUUUGAAGCCUAGGGGUCUUUGUAAAAAAAAAUCAAAUAAUAUUUCUCCAAAACACUGUCAGGAAAAUCAAACUCGGUGCUCACAAGGGCAAUAUCUCACGGUCUGGGCAUCGCUUCACAUCAUCACUCUGGCAAGAUGAGGACUGCCUUUGCCUGAUGAGAUGCCCAGGAUGGAGCUGACUUUGUGCUUAGUACAGCAGCUCUUGCUCUUUUUUCUGCUCACAUUUACUUACUCGGGCGGCUCACAAGAGGAGAGCAGAAUGACAGCGGACCCCUCCCUGGGUUUCAGCAGGGGCAGGAUCCGACCCUACAGUCUCGCUGCCAGGUUUUUAGGGUGCAUCUGAAAUGCUCAGCCAGGGGGGACAUUCGCAUGUUAAGUGUUUCCGACGUCUUGCUGAGGAGCCCUAGCUGCACUUAGAGCCCGUGCAUCUUUUUCUUCCCCUUGUCUCUUCUUCGGAGGGAUUCAGGGAUCCUGUUGUUCCUUUGCAGUCUGUUACCGCAUCGACGGAAGAGGAUGUGCAACUUAGUGGAAACGUGUCAGGGCAAUCGGGCCGGAGCCAAAGUCCGCUGUAGGCAUUUGAACAUUUCUCCUUGCCUCCUGGACCCUCUGGAUCCAGCCCUUGGUGAGCCAGAUCUCGAUCACAGCUGGAACUUAACUUUGCUAAACCACUUCUUAAUACCUGAGGCUGCCUGGAUCUCCAGACAGAUCCAACGCGACUGCCAGAUGAGGAUGACAGCUCAGCGCUCCUGUGAAAUACGGAUAUGCAUUUCGACCUAGGAGGACUUGUGCAACCCCUGCUGUCUCCCAUGUCUGGAGGAGGGCGAGUGCGCCCGACAGCUUGCAGUACUAGGCACAUUCAGCAGACAGUGACACUGGCUUUCCCCCCAUCCACUACAAGCCUCUGAAACUCAAUCUUAAUCUUCCACAACCUGACAGAUACCAAGUACCAGCAUCUUAACCACCAGGCAGGUGACACGCCGCCAGCUCUAAGCACAACCCCUUCCAACUUUACACACAGAUCAAGCAACUCUCAUUAUCUCAGUUCCCACCAGCAAUCCCUAUUCAAAAUCUGCAUGUUACCCAAGAUUACCUGCCAUCACCACUCACUGGCAUUGUGGAAUUUGAUUGUGCUAUAAUAAGGAACUGCAGGUGAUUUGAGGUCCUGUGAGGGAAAAGAAUGAGAACCCUGUCUUUGAAUGGUGUUAACCCAAAUUGCUGUCCAAAUAAACCCCGCGUUUCCUAAUGGCACUUGGGAAAUGCACUUAAAUGAGUACUUUCUAUAUUUCUUUGUAGGCUAAAAGUUACUUGGGGAAAGGCAAUGUAAUGUAAUUGUUUUGCUACGACUUGGACAUAUGGUAUCUGGAAUGAACUGCUGCAACUUCAAAUGACAUCUUUGUUCUAUGGUUCUGAUCCUGAAAAUACCUGCAUGCAUACUGUAAUACAAGUCACCUGAAGGCAUCAGGACUUAAACUAAGUUCAGCAAAGGAACUUUGGCAAUUCAAAUAGUCCAAAACUACAGUCCUCAAAAUCAUUCUCUAACCCUUUAUGGGCCUAAAGACUGUAGGCACAUAAAUCUUUACUAGCAAAGCUUCAUAAGCACCUCUGCCUUGAAUCUCAGUCUUUGCAUGGCAUAGUUCAAGAUUCACAGGGUCAGAAAGCAAGUAGGAACAUUACCCUGUAGUUACGUCACUCACCUAGGAAGGGGAGUUCUUUCCAGAGGUAUAAUUAGCAGGGUUUGUUUGCUUACUUCACUGCUCUGGAAGUCCUACCUGCUGCCACAGCAAAGUCUGCCUACCCCAGUUAUCGAUACUAUAGUGACACCACAGGGUCUUUGCACCUGGCUGCUACUGCAACAGCAGCAGUGGAGGGCUGCAGUUUGCUACCCUGGCAUGGGCUCACCAGGGAAGCUACCAUUUUGGUACCCCAAAUAAGUUGGUGCCCCUUACCCACCCCACAUUGCAUUACGGGUGCUUGCCUCCUACCCUGCAGACCAGUUUAUGUAUUUUACAUUUAGCAGUCACUGGAUAAAAUAACCAGACCUCAGAUCAGAGACUGUUACUCAGGUCGUAAAAUAAAUGCAAGAUCAGAUCCUGCGCUCCUAUUAUAUGGAACUGAAAGUAACUGGAGAAACUUUUAAAUACGGAGUGGAGAAUCAGGUAUAACUAAAAGUAAUUUGAACCAAAUUCUCCUCCUGCAUAUUUCAAUCCAGUCUGUCAAAGUAAUUUAUUCAGAUAAAUGUUUUAAGAGCCAAGGAUUGGUAAUAAAAAUGGAAAUCUCAGCUUCUCAUUCUGAUAAUCACAUUAGAAUUUCCCAUACUGUGCAGGUUCUGGGAUGUAUAAUCUCUGGGCAAGUGAAAGGAAAGGGGAAGCUCAGAAGGCUGUUCAAUACAUUUAAUUCCCAGGGUAAUAAUCAGACCUGUGUAAAAUUAACCACACAAUUAUAAUCCUUUAUAAUUGUUAGAAUUGUAUUGCCUUCUAACAUAAUUUUGCAUUAAAAAAACCCUCUUUUGCGUAAAGAAUAUAUGGAUCUUAAUAUGCAGAAAAGACCUUAGUAAACACUUCUUAUUGCCUGUACCAUUUUUCAUUAAACAAUAAGAAUUUUUCAGACUAUAAUCCAGCGGAUUGAUGAGGUUUGGCAAGAGAUUAUAAUAUUUUAAAAUCAUAGCUUUGAAAAGGUUUUUUUUUUUCUUCCACAUUAAUAGAAAAAACCUUAAAAAGGAGAAAAAAUAUUUUCCUUUGCUUCACUAAAAUCUUUCUCAAAGACAUGAACCUGCUUCCAUGAAAGUCAAUGGGGAGAUACGGCAAAGAGAGGAGACAUUUUGGAAGAAAUUACCAAUACAGCUGAGCCUUUUCCUCACACAAGUAGUGCUGUUGUGCCAUAUUGCACCUGCUACAGUUGGACAAUUUUUUCCCUACUUUCUUUUCCACAAUUGUUGUAGUAACACACUGCCAAUAUAAUUUGCAAUUACUGGGUGUCUCAGCUUUUUAACUCAACUGGUCCUGUACUCUUUACUCUGACAAACAAACAGAGGUUUUUCGGAGUUUUUUAAAUUGCUUUUGUCAAGGGUCUAGCUAUCAUUUUGAAAUAUGCACAAAUACUUACACGCUUCCUUGUAACCAGGCUCCUAAGGUAACCCUGCUCCACCAACCCGUUCUAUCUGCAGUGUGUGCAGCAUGUUCUCUCUACCACUGAAUUAUGUUAGCUUUUAGUGAAGGUACUGGGUUCCAGUUUUCUCUCAGCUGUGAUGACUGACUAACUCCAGUGAAGUCAUCUCAGUUAUAGGAACAGAACUGAUAGAAGUCCACUAGUUGAGUAUGAUGCUGGAGUAGAUCCUUAGGUCUGUACAUUUAGGUAUAUGCUAUUAAAAGGUGUGAAAAGGGAAAAUGGGGCAAAUUUACCAGGCAGCACAUGAAAUGUUGCCCCACUGAGGUUAAAAUUGGAUCCCAGAGUGUACACACCAAUCCCCUACUUCGAUACUGGUUCCAAGUUGAUGAGUUUAUCUGAUGUAUCAUGUGUGCAGCAUAAGGCACACUGAAGAAACAGGGUUAGUUUUUCCUGUAUGUGCUUCUCUAAAGAAUUUCCUGGUGACUGUAUCUAACAUCAUAGCCUGGGGUCCCUAGCUGAGGCCUCUUACACCCUUUGUAAUUUAAAAUAAAAGCUGGCAUGAGUUCCCAAGUGCCAGUUUCACUAGCAAGAUCAUAACCAAGUUUCCCUGUGGUAUACAAUUGAAUUAUGAAUACCAGAUUAUUUGUAGAGAUCAGAUUUGCUUUAUAUUUAAACACAUUUUAAAAUGCCAGCAAGAAGAGAACAACAUAUUAGUCUGGUAUCCUGUAAUCUUAUUUAUCUACACACAGAAUAAAGUCUCAGAUGCUGGGAUCUUUUAACAGUUUUUCCAUAUUGGAUUUUUGGGUGGAUGUGGUUUCCUUUAUGUAUCCUAGUAACAUAUUUAGUUAAUUUAUCCAUCUAUGAAUAGGCAGAUAUGCAUACAUAUCCAUAUGUACAAACACACAUAGUCCUAAUUAAAAGUGUUACACUUCCCAUUGCAGAACUAAGUCCAGAGUGAAGCAGGGUUGAGAGAUUGCUCCUGUUUUCCACUGAUUUAGCAGAGGGAGACAGUACAGUUUCACUCACUGAUGAACAAUCCAAAAAGUGAAAUUCAGAAUGUCUUUGGCCUUCACAGUUAAGGUUGCAGUGAGAUUUUCACUCAACGUAAAAUGAAAAUCCUCCUGUUUCACACUUUAAUGAUUGAAGUCAGUGGGAAUUAGGUUCCCUGCUCAUAGAACCUUUGUAGGAUUAAGGUCUUAAUCCCCAAUCUUAUACUUCCACAUGCACUUAACAUCAAGCAGAAGAACAGUUCCAUCCUUUGCAGUGGGACUACUUAUGCUAAAUGCUAAACAUGUGCGUAAGUGAUUGCAAGAUGGGGCCUUAAAUUGUUGUGGUAGCCUUGGCUGUUAUAAGGCAAACUGAAAAUGCAGAGACUCUUAGCAGAUAAAUUGGUACAUAAAGGAUGGAGUGAUCUGCAAACAUUUAAUAUUAAAAUAUAAACAUAAUUUACUUAUAUGAGGGAUUCUGGAGGUCCUAAGAAAUGCUUAGUAUUGGCCUAACCCUGCCCCAGUUGAAAUAAACAGGAGCUUUACCAUUGAUUUCAAUGGGAGCAGAUUUAGGCUGCUCUAGUAGUCUUUUCUUAUACUAUCCCUUUCCUUUUCUUAUAUGGGUUUUUCAGGUUGAUCUUACAACUAAGAUGACCAAAGAAAUAACCCUCUUGUGAAAUGGAUUGCAUCAAGGGAGUGUAGUGCUGCCAUCAUGAUGAUGCUGAAAUGUCAGGCAGCCAUAAAUUUUGAUUCAGUAGCUUUGAUGUCCUGUGUAAUGUCCAGAUACUUCUUGGAUGUUUAUACAAGACUAAUCUGUACCCAAGAAGACUGAUAAGAUGUAACAAAACACAGAAUGCCAUAUAUGUGGAUGAAGAGGGAGGGAUUAAUACCAUUGUCCAUACUUAGUCAAACGCUUAUGCACAUCAAUAAGCAUUUUGAAUAAGUAAGACCUGAUGAAUUGGGCCUGGAAAGUUAAUAGUUUACUUGAUAACUGGUUUGGAAAAAUCCACUGUUUUCUAAGUUCUCACCAGAAUUACAAGAUGAUAUUUUGAAACCAUUAAUAAAUACAAGCAGUACACUUUAUAUUAAAUAUGGGAAAUUUGCCAGAUAUAAGUUUAGAAAUUAAGGGUCAAAUGUGACAAAUACCUUGCAAGGGAAAAUUCUUGCAAGAUACCUUGCAAGAUACCUAUUCUCAGAUACCUUGCAAGGGAAAAUCCUAAAAUAUUUGUUUUAUAUUGCAUCUCGUAUUAAAUUAAUAUCACUUUGUGCAUGGUUCUUUUUAAGUCAUAAGAAAUGAAAAAGCACAUGUUAUUCUGCAUCAAUUUAUUUACCUAUAGGGUAUUUGUUGUCAUAUCAGCUGUCACACACUGAAACCUGAUGUUGGUAGUAAUUAUUAAAGAAAAAAGUACCUGUACAUUUUUGUCAUUUGAUUUCUGUAAUUUGUGGUGAAUGUUGUUUAUGGAAUAAAUAGAUCGAAUGCAUGUGAAUAGCAUGGGAAAUCAAUAAAAUAAACCCUGUAUUCA
Molecule: long non-coding RNA, 8823 nt
Organism: Alligator sinensis (Chinese alligator)
Lineage: Eukaryota; Metazoa; Chordata; Crocodylia; Alligatoridae
Exons: 2
Source: RefSeq, a predicted model, not a curated record